CCUACGGGUGGCUGCAGUGGGGAAUAUUGGACAAUGGGCGCAAGCCUGAUCCAGCAAUGCCGCGUGUGUGAAGAAGGCCUGCGGGUUGUAAAGCACUUUUGUCCGGAAAGAAAUUGCCCGGGAUAAUACCCUGGGUGGAUGACGGUACCGGAAGAAUAAGCACCGGCUAACUUCGUGCCAGCAGCCGCGGUAAUACGAAGGGUGCAAGCGUUAAUCGGACUUACUGGGCGUAAAGGGUGCGUAGGUGGUCUGUUAAGUCGGAUGUGAAAGCCCCG
Molecule: ribosomal RNA, 275 nt
Filed under: uncultured bacterium
Lineage: Bacteria
Description: partial 16S ribosomal RNA
Rfam family: Bacterial small subunit ribosomal RNA
Source: RNAcentral